CGAGAUAUAACUUAAUGGUAGAGUAGUUCACUUCUAAUGAAUUUGUAUUGGUUCGACUCCGCAUCUUCUUUU
Non-coding RNA from Ustilago sp. UG-2017a, 72 nucleotides. Lineage: Eukaryota; Fungi; Basidiomycota; Ustilaginomycetes; Ustilaginales; Ustilaginaceae. The record is from the annotation of a GenBank genome assembly.